GAUGAACGCUGGCGGCGUGCCUAAUACAUGCAAGUAGAACGCUGAAGCUUGGUGCUUGCACCGAGCGGAUGAGUUGCGAACGGGUGAGUAACGCGUAGGUAACCCGCCUCUUAGCGGGGGAUAACUAUUGGAAACGAUAGCUAAUACCGCCUAAAAGUCGCUAUCGCAUGAUAUUGAUUUGAAAGGUGCAAUUGCAUCACUAAUGGAUGGACCUGCGUUGGAUUAGCUAGUUGGAGAGGUAACGGGUCACCAAGGCGACGAUACAUAGCCGGGCUGAGAGGGUGAGCGGCCAACCUGGGAACGGGACCAGGGCCAGGACCCCUCGGGGAGGAGCAGGAGGGGAACAUUGGCAAUGGGGGGAACGCCUGCCGAGGAACGGCGGGGGGGUUGAGGAGGGUUUCGGGGCGUAAAGGUCUGUUGUGAGGGGAGAAAGAGUGUGAGAGUGGAAAGUUCGCACUUUGACGUUACCUUACCAGAAAGCGACGGCUAACUACGUG
Molecule: ribosomal RNA, 497 nt
Filed under: uncultured bacterium
Lineage: Bacteria
Description: partial 16S ribosomal RNA
Rfam family: Bacterial small subunit ribosomal RNA
Source: RNAcentral